AGUGAACGCUGGCGGUAGGCCUAACACAUGCGAGUCGAACGGCAGCACAGUAAGAGCUUGCUCUUACGGGUGGCGAGUGGCGGACGGGUGAGGGAUACAUCGGAAUCUACUUUUUCGUGGGGGAUAACGUAGGGAAACUUACGCUAAUACCGCAUACGACCUACGGGUGAAAGCAGGGGAUCUUCGGACCUUGCGCGAUUGAAUGAGCCGAUGUCGGAUUAGCUAGUUGGCGGGGUAAAGGCCCACCAAGGCGACGAUCCGUAGCUGGUCUGAGAGGAUGAUCAGCCACACUGGAACUGAGACACGGUCCAGACUCCUACGGGAGGCAGCAGUGGGGAAUAUUGGACAAUGGGCGCAAGCCUGAUCCAGCCAUACCGCGUGGGUGAAGAAGGCCUUCGGGUUGUAAAGCCCUUUUGUUGGGAAAGAAAAGCAGCAGGUUAAUACCCCGCUGUUCUGACGGUACCCAAAGAAUAAGCACCGGCUAACUUCGUG
Molecule: ribosomal RNA, 492 nt
Filed under: uncultured bacterium
Lineage: Bacteria
Description: partial 16S ribosomal RNA
Rfam family: Bacterial small subunit ribosomal RNA
Source: RNAcentral